UACCUACAUGGGUCAGUUUUGGGUUUAUUUGGGCCUUGAAAAUAAGAUUUGUUAAUUCUACUGAAUUGCUUCUUCUCUGCUCCCGCCGUCACACCGCCGUUACCGGCAGCGAGUAAAAAUCUCCGCCGCCGUCAACCUCCACCGUUGCUCCGUCAUCUCACUGCAACUCCCCCACAUCUACCGUGAAUCAAAGUUAACGGAAUAGAGAAAAGCCUCCAUCUUUGCUCCGUCAUCUUACUGUAACUCCUCCUUCUCCGUCGUCACACUGCCGUCGCGGCGAAUCCACUCAAAUUAUGCAAAAUAUGGAAGUAGAGAGAGUUUUUAUUGGAGCAGGGUGUAAUAGAGUAGUGAAUAACGUUUCAUGGGGUGCUUCUGGUUUAGUUUCUUUUGGUGCCCAAAAUGCUGUAGCUAUUUUCUGUCCAAAGACAGCUCAAAUCUUGACUACACUACCUGGUCAUAAAGCUUCUGUGAAUUGUACCCUUUGGCUUCCCAAUAGCAAGUUUGCAUUCAAAGCUAAGCAGCUGGAACAACAUUUUUGCUUUCUGGAGAUGCGGAAGGUGUAAUAAUUUUGUGGGAGUAUUCUCUUGUGGAUGUGAAGUUCGGGGAUCGAUGAACUGGGAAGAGAUUGGCUGCACUUAGAAAUCCUUGAUGUCAAUAUCUUGGACUAGUUCUUAUGGAGUUUCACCAUAUAUAAAGCAUGAUUACUGUCAGUUUUAUGUACAUAAUUUUGCUCCAAGAAUGCUGUGAUGCAUCACUUGUUGGUCUUCUUUGAGUGAUAAAUGGUUGUCCAAAAGCUACAAACAAUGUAUUUGUCAUUUGAUAAAGUCAAUCUUGGCAUGACCUUCUUUCA
Solanum tuberosum (potato) is the source of this 850-nucleotide long non-coding RNA. RefSeq lists it as uncharacterized. Lineage: Eukaryota; Viridiplantae; Streptophyta; Magnoliopsida; Solanales; Solanaceae. The transcript has 4 exons. The record is from RefSeq and is a predicted model, not a curated record.